RNAcentral lists this ribosomal RNA (254 nucleotides) under uncultured bacterium. Its description in RNAcentral is "partial 16S ribosomal RNA". It matches the Rfam family "Bacterial small subunit ribosomal RNA", at positions 524 to 776 of the family's 1533-position model. The record is from RNAcentral.
UACGGGGGGGGCAAGCGUUGUUCGGAAUUACUGGGCGUAAAGGGCUCGUAGGCGGCCAACUAAGUCAGACGUGAAAUCCCUCGGCUUAACCGGGGAACUGCCUCUGAUACUGGAUGGCUUGAGUUUGGGAGAGGGAUGCGGAAUUCCAGGUGUAGCGGUGAAAUGCGUAGAUAUCUGGAGGAACACCGGUGGCGAAGGCGGCAUCCUGGACCAACACUGACGCUGAGUGAGCGAAAGCCAGGGGAGCAAACGGG